CAUAGCAAAAGAUACCGGAGUGUUGGUGGUUCCUGUGCUGCUCUUAUGGCUAAGAACAUUCAGGUUCAUUGAGUUUCUGGUCUCUUGGAUCACCGUGACAAAUACCUGAGCCUUUUCCUUUCCCACAGAUAUGCAUUGCAGCUUACUACAACCUCCAGAUGGGAUCUCUGGUUGCAGCACUAUGUGUCAGCCAGGAUUAUCCUAUGGGGCUGAUCACAUCUGCCACCCACACACGCUUCCUGUGGAAACUAUGGUCAGUCAAGGAUGCAGAGACACAACAGUACACAGGGAGCAGGAGGCUGGGGUGUUGGGACAGCAGCUCCAAAGCAACGUGCUGGAUUCCUCUGUAGUCACUGGAGAAAAAUCAGCACUUCUAGAACCUGAUUCUUCUUGUCCUCGUGCAGAUGUCUCCAGGAGAUCAGCACAAACUGCCCUUGAUUAGUCAUCGACCUGGUUUAGAAGUUGCACUGCUACCACACAAGCUGCGGGUUUCUAAGUUGGACCUGGAUUUGAAUUUCCCUGGCAUUAGAGGAGUUGCAUUCAGUGUUCUGGUUUGGAUCCAUCUUAAAACGGUGGAUGUCUCUGCAGAAGCAACGGGAGCAGAAGGCAGAAGCUCUUGAGUCCUGACUGCAGCUGUGAAACAGGCUUGGCGUUGAUCAUCAGGUUCCUUGCCUCAGUUUCCCCACUUGUCGUUUGAAUGAUGUCUGUGUUGCAAUCAUGCUGCAAGGCGUAGCCAAUAUUUGCGCAGCGGUGCUUUGGAGGUGCCACGCAUCAGAUCAUCCCAGGAGAUACCACUAUCAUCAGUAUAUCAAUUGUAUCUACACAGGGAACAAAAUCAGGCACAGAUGCUAGCAUAAUGUUAUGUAUUUUGGUACAAAAUGAAAUAAAAAUCUUGCCUUCUGUCCUC
Cygnus olor (mute swan) is the source of this 907-nucleotide long non-coding RNA. RefSeq lists it as uncharacterized. NCBI's taxonomy places the organism in Eukaryota, Metazoa, Chordata, Aves, Anseriformes, Anatidae. The transcript has 4 exons. The record is from RefSeq and is a predicted model, not a curated record.